This is a long non-coding RNA of Alosa sapidissima (American shad), 1499 nucleotides long. RefSeq lists it as uncharacterized. The record is from RefSeq and is a predicted model, not a curated record. NCBI's taxonomy places the organism in Eukaryota, Metazoa, Chordata, Actinopteri, Clupeiformes, Clupeidae. The transcript has 4 exons.
AUUUAGUCAUGUGGUUGUCGUGAACUUGGCUGCUUGCAAAGCGCGCGCAGGCUACCUCUCAGCUCAGCUCAGCUCAGCCCAGGGAUGGACGAAGAGUGAAAAGAUGUCAGAGAAGAAAGACUCGAGUUCAAAGGAACCUCAGACCUGCAUUGCUUUUAGAAGUGAUUCCGUUUCCCACAGUUGUGGCAUUGUUGGCCAAAGGCUGGACAUUGUUCACGUUUCGCUGGAAAAACAAGAGCUGGUGUGAAGGGAGACAAAAGAUUUGCUUCCAAAAGUAACUGCUUAUUCACUGGAAAGGGAUUUUGGGCACAGUAUGUUUGCUGGACAGUGUGUGUGGCGUGUGUUUUAUUAAUGGAGCUUUGGCACAAUGUUUUGUUCCUCGUUGCUUCUCGUGUCUCACUUGGCUGUUGUGCUACAAAGGAAUUCAUGUAUGGGUAGACCUGCUCCAAGUCGAACUCUUUUGGUGGUGGAGAUGGUGGGUUUGAGUACACAUGGCUGCUGAAACGUGGGCAACCAUCAAUACACCAAAAUAAUACCUAAACACAGGCAGACAUUUAUGACCUCACUACAGUGCAAUGCUUUUCUCCGAAGCUAAAGUUUUAGAGCUUAUUCUGACAUCUUAAACAGGCCAACACAGAAUAUAUAGUUUAUAGGAUACUGUAAAGCAUGGUGAAUACUGAAAUGUUCACAAAGUAUGUGGGGGUUGCAUAAAUAAAUCUUAAGUGUCAGUCAUUUUCAUUAACUGCCCUUCUGAGCUCAUGUCUGAUUUACAGUCAUUAAAAUUCACCUGCCUCCCACUCGCCUGUCAACAGUUUAUUAAUUAAUCAUAGAUGGGAUUAAAAUGUAUGGGUUUUCACACACUUAAAUGUGGAGCUCCUCAUUAAGACUGGUGGAGAUCAGGGUCAUGGUUUAAUUUAUGUAGCGUAUGUAAGCUUGUUUUCUUUGACUUAAAAACGUCCCUUCUCACGUGUUGUGGUUACGGAGGAUGAGUGCUAAGGCCCUGAUCAUGAGUGCUAUUGUACUUGUCAGCUCAGAUAAUAUGAUCAUCCAUUAUUUUGAAUAUUUUCAGAAAGAUGUCAUGGUUUUAAAAGAUCAGAUGUGUGUUUUAGGUAUUACCGAAAUAAAUUCACAUUCUCUUGUACAAAAAGUUAAUUUAGGAAUUUCAGGAGCAUGACAUUGUUGACAAUUAUGUAAAUACUUCUAAUUAUAAUAAUUUGCAUUUAAUUUGAACUGAAACAGAUGGACAAAAACAGUUUUGUGUUAUGUUUAUUACACAGAUGAUGCCUGAGUUACAUGGGGUUGCUUUGGUAUUACAGUAAGAUGACAUAGACAUGUUUAGAAAGCAGAAGCGGAGUUGACUGCUAGCGAAACAGUCCCACACAAAAUCGAAAGGGAAGAAAAUAAGUGUUAGCAUAGCUAAGCAGCGAAUAGGGAAAAAAGGUCAAAGUUUCAAACACAACAUCUGUGCUUUUUACUGUCGACUCAUUCCCAAUGGAAAU